CCUACGGGAGGCAGCAGUGGGGAAUAUUGGACAAUGGGCGAAAGCCUGAUCCAGCCAUGCCGCGUGUGUGAAGAAGGCCUUCGGGUUGUAAAGCACUUUCAGUGGGGAAGAAAGCCUUGGGGCUAAUACCCUCGAGGAAGGACAUCACCCACAGAAGAAGCACCGGCUAACUCCGUGCCAGCAGCCGCGGUAAUACGGAGGGUGCGAGCGUUAAUCGGAAUUACUGGGCGUAAAGCGCGCGUAGGCGGUCUGAUAAGCCGGUUGUGAAAGCCCCGGGCUCAACCUGGGAACGGCAUCCGGAACUGUCGGGCUAGAGUGCAGGAGAGGAAGGUAGAAUUCCCGGUGUAGCGGUGAAAUGCGUAGAGAUCGGGAGGAAUACCAGUGGCGAAGGCGGCCUUCUGGACUGACACUGACGCUGAGGUGCGAAAGCGUGGGUAGCAAACAGGAUUAGAUACCCGAGUAGUC
This 465-nucleotide ribosomal RNA is filed under the name Vreelandella stevensii. Its description in RNAcentral is "partial 16S ribosomal RNA". It matches the Rfam family "Bacterial small subunit ribosomal RNA", at positions 338 to 795 of the family's 1533-position model. Lineage: Bacteria; Pseudomonadati; Pseudomonadota; Gammaproteobacteria; Oceanospirillales; Halomonadaceae. The record is from RNAcentral.